UUGACAUUGGCCUCGCCGGCGAUUGCCGGAGCGAUCCCCGACACCCUCUGCCGAACCUAAAAGGGGUGCCACACACCCCCGGUGUCUAAGCCCCGGGCUACGACAAUGUUCGAGGAACGCUCACGGCGGCGCGCGCAGCUGCUUGCCGGCGCCGAAGGGAGCGACGGCCAGCUGCUGCUCACGGCUGAUCAGUGGGCGGCCACGACCACGAGGACGAUGGCGGGAGCAGCGUGCACUCAGGCGCGAAGGGACGGCACGGCAAGUGCUUCAAUUGUGGCGUUCGCGGCCAUUUCUCCCGUGACUGCCGACGUCGACGACGAGCCGGCCUUUCUGUAGGUUGUGGCUUAGGGGGAGAUUGUUAGGAAUAAGCCACGCGCGUGUGCGUGUCUAGGUCAGGUUUAGUCCGAUGCUGGUGCUGCCGCGUCCGUGGUCAGGUUUUGUGUAGUCAGUUUGUGGCCGGGUCUUCGUUCGUGCGGCAACGGAGAUUGCUGCGUGCGCAAGCUUGGAGUUCGGAGGGCGACCGGGUCUCACGGAUGAGUAGUGCGGGGCUCACAACGAGGUAGACCGGAUCGCCAGGCGUUCGUGCGCGGACUGCUAGCUGAGUUUGUUGCGUGGGCACUGCGUUGCCACAGCUAUAAAGCUGGCUGUAACCGAAGUUUGUUGUGGUUUUUUUUUCUUUUUCUUUUUUUUUCCAAAUGGUCAAAAGCUCAGAGCACUUGAUGUAAGAAAUUCCGAAUGAAUACAUUAAUUUUAAUCCUCGAAUCAAGUUUAAGUGCACAGAUAAUUGAAUCACGCAUGAAUUUUCAAAUAAGGAUUACAUCGGAUGGUAGCAAGAAAUAAAAGAAAGGUUUUUUACUUCUGUGCCCUCGGUUCCUUUGUUCUACUAGAUCAGUUCUGCCCAGGCCUUAAAACGCUGCUCGCUUCUACCCUCCUCUGUUGCGCAAAUGCUCGCUUUUGCCAUCACGGAGCACCUCCUCCCGGUCAACUCGGUCAAGCCAUUUGCUGCUGACGGGUGGGACCGGGUAUAAGCCUGACGGCUGGGACCAAUGCGUGCUCUGACGGUGCGCCGGUCCGGGCUUCGGCGAGCUUGACUCUGGCCACCGCGACGACGGCCGCUGCGGUGUGGGGAUCAGCACGAGCACGAGGACAAGGACCGGGACAGGGACGCUAGGACGCGUCGCUAGGAUGCUCUCGGUCGGCGCGACGGAUGCUAGGAUGCGCCGCUGCCACACGCUCAUGCCGCGCCAUACCCUCUGCGGCGUGACGUGGUCGAGGUCCUGGCCAUUGAUCCGCCUCCAUGGGCUCGCAGGCGAGACUCACGAAAGAAGCACCGGCAUUGACCAAGGGAAGCAUCGGCGACGCCGCCGCAGAAUGUGCCCAUCUACGGCGCGGACACAGCACAACACAACCAUCGAAGAAAGAACCUAGUUCAUAUAUUCCAACAAGGGCUUACAUAGCGUAACGACAUUAAUUUUGAAAAAAAAAUGCUGAUCGAUCGCUCACUCCUCGGCUUCGUCUUCAGAUUCCUCCACAGGCGGCGCAGGCCCCUAGACAGCCACCUCCACAGGCGCCUCCGCCUCCUCCAUGUACGCGAGGCCGUGCAUCUCGCCGGCGUGGGAGGACGUGGUCGUAGUGUUGGUGUACACGUUGUACAACGUGAAUGCGAUCAACUCGCAUCCACACCAGGACACGCGGCCAAGGAGAUAAUCGGCGUCAUGGCUGUUGGUGAGGUGCACCAGGAGGGCGGUUUUGACACCGUGCUCGCGGAGCUACUCCAGGCGGUACAUUGGAGGGCCACCGGCCUCCAGGUGACUGAAGCCGGUGUUGAGGAAGUUCCUGGCCAGCGCGAUCGAUCUCCGGCUGCGCGACAUCGCCCACACCUGGAGCGUCUGCUCCACACGCACGCUAGGUGGGAACAACGCCUCGUCAGUGAGGGGUGGCGGGUUGAAGGUGAGGCCUUCGAACGCCAUUGCUUGUCGUCAGUGGGGGCGUUGGGUGGCGGGUUGAAGAAGUGGAGUGGAGAGCUGUGUAGAAGAAGGAGAAGAAUGGAGAGCUACAUAGAAGAAGCAGAGCCAUGGCGCUGGGUUAAAUAGCAAUGGUGACAGGGGAAGGGGAGAGGUUUCCAGCGAUCGGUGGGCUUUGAAUGCGGUCGCCGGCAUAGUUUAAAAUGCAUGGGAAACUGAAGUACGUGGGAAGUUGGAGGAAACUGGCGUCAAUAGCAGGCGUGCGCGGCCCAGUGAGAGCAAUCCCAGCACGUUUCCCACUCACUCUCAAUAACUGUGAGAUCGUCCUGUCGGAUUCCUCUCCCCACUACUCUCUCGGUCCCGUCCCCACUAGUACUUAUGUGCGUGCCCAGUAAACCAAUUCUCUUGUCUCCUCUGAUCUCAUCUACAUUCUUCCUCUCGCUCUCUCUCGAGCUCUACCGCUUCUCUUCGCCAUGGCCAAGGACAAGGAGCUAGUAGACGGUACUGAGAGCUCGGCUGGCGACGGCCAUGGGCGUGAGCUGGACACCACUCCGCCAUCUGCCACCCGCCGACAUGCGCCGGCGGAAUUGUCCCAUGCAUUGAGCAUGGACGCCGCCGCUCGUCGUAGCCGCUCAUCACCACCAAAGCGUGCCCGCAUCGAGGAGGAUGUCCCGUGCUCGUCUUGCGGCCGACUCCCCCUCAACGACGAUGACGACGACGACGACGACGAUGACGAUGAGGAGGAGGAGGAGGAGGCCGAGUGCGAGAUCAAUCAGCGCCACGCCGAGCUCCUGCACACGUACCAGCAGCGUGUGCGGGAAGCCAACUGGCAGCACAUAGCUGCCGCGAAGGUGGCUUUCGUGGCGGAAUAUUUCGCCAACGAGUGCGGUCGGGAGGCGGCGGAGGCGAGGGACCGGUACGAGUUUCAGCUCGUGACUCUAAACUCGGAGAGAAGCAUCCUUCUUGAGGAGCGGGGGAGGAAGAACGUCCGGGAAAUCCGGGCGGAGCGCGACGCCCUCUUCGCCUUCCAUGAGGAGCGCGGCCUCAACGAUGGCGACGGUGACGACGCUGCAUAAUGGAGCUCGUGCCUCAGGUUCGUUAUUUAUCUCUAGCUACAUAUGUAUAUGUUGCUACGUAUCUCUAUUUUUAUUCCUAUUUUGUAAUCGAUCUUGCGUACCCAUCGAUAUAUAUAUAUAUAUAUAUAUAUAUGGAAUGUUAUCCGUUUUUCUCUUAUAUAUAUAUGGGUAUGGUAACGGCAUAAGGUUGUACAUUUUCGGCACCGUGACUUUGUUGGGAUGCUUAUUUUGAAUGAAACAACGUUGGUUGACCUCCCUGGGUAAAGUAAGGCCAGUCACAAAUUGAUUUGGUCUGAAUUUUUUUUUGGUGACAGGUAUUGACAAAUAAAGAGCCCAUGCAGGUUUUCAGAUUUUUCCGAAGAAAAUUUCCUAUUAUUAUAUUUUUUUUCCAAUUGGCAGAAUAUGCAAAGACAGUAGUUUAGGUGCAAAAAGGAUUCAAAUGCGUUUGGAUCCGGUGCAUUCCAAGUUUUUUGGAAUGCCAUGGCACAACCAUGACUUUGUUAUAUUGGUUCCACAUCGAUUUGUGUGAAGUUUCAUUGAAUUUUGAAUUAUGAGCCGAAAAGGCUGGAUUUUCAAAGAAUGCACGAAAUAUCGUUCCUGAACUCUAGAAAAUCUGAAAUUUGGAGAGAACAUCAAGGAUGAACACUAAACGCUAUGAAACUCUUCUUGGACGAAAAUUGUGAAUCUAAGUAGGGAUUGAGGUAACAGUUCCCCAGAUUUGUUUGAAUUUGAAAUUCAAAAAAUAGGUAAACAAUUCAGAUUUGAACAAGCUUUGGGAUAAUGACAUUAAUAGGCAUAUGUGACUAGUGUGCAAAGUUUGAGUUCAUUUGGAGAAAGUGUUGUGAUUCAAUUCCAAAAUUUACAUCAAACUUCCAACAUCUCCCUUAGAGAUUCUAAAACAUCCCAGAGAGAUGUGCUACUUUCAACAUCAUGCAUGUGAUCACAAAUUGAUUUUGGUCUGAUUUUUUUUUGGUGGCAGGUAUUGACAAAUAAAGAGCCCAUGCAGGUUUUCAGAUUUUUCCAGAUAAAAUUUCCUAUUAUUAUUUUUUUUUCAUAUUGGCAGAAUACGCUAAAACAAUAGUUUAGGUGCAAAAAGGAUUCAAAUGCGUUUGGACCCGGUGCAUUCCAAGUUUUUUGGAAUGCCAUGGCACAACCAUGACUUUGUUAUAUUGGUUCCACAUCGAUUUGUGAGAAGUUUCAUUGAAUUUUUAAUUAUGAGCCGAAAAGGUUGGAAAUUCAAAGAUUGUACGAAAUAUCGUUCCUGAACUCCAAAAAAUCUGAAAUUUGGAGAGAACAUCAAGGAUGAACACUAAACGCUAUGAAAAUCUUCUGGGAUGAAACUUGUGAAUCUAAGUUGUGAUUGAGGUAACAGUUCCGCUGAUUUGUUUGAAUUUGAAAUUCAAAAAAUAGGUAAACAAUUCAGAUUUGAACAAGCUUUGAGACAAUGACAUUAAUAUGCAUAUGUGACUAGUGUGCAAAGUUUGAGUUCAUUUGGAGAAAAUGUUGUGAUUUAAUUCCAAAAUUUACAUCAAACUGGCCAAAUAGUGGCUCUGGUCAACAAAAAUCAACUUUCUCAAAACAAUUUGAAAUUUCGUCAUCUUGCAUAACUUUCCAUUCGGAUUGCAUCUGUGCUAUCAAAAAUCAAUUUGGAGGAAGUUCAAUUUCCAAGUUUCCUACAAAAUUAUCCAUUCCAGUGGGCUCAAAGGGCAAAAAGUGGUUCUUUCUUCCCCCCUUGGAACAAAAGUCAACUUUCUCAAAACAAGUUGAAAUUUUGAUUAACCAGAACACAACAUCUACAACAGAACACAACAUCAACAUUGAUUAACCCUUGGUGAACAAAAGUCCACUUUCUAAAAACAAAUCAAAAUUCAUAGGAACUAAAUAAGUGACAAUAACAAUACAUUCCCAUGUUUUUGCCAGGGCUAACAUUCUUCAUCCCGAAGCAGCUCAUCUUCCUGGCCGCUCUUUGUGCCGUCCAUCGCGACACCAUCGCUUCUCAACUCGGCCGCUAAACCUUGCCGCCACGACCUUGUAGACAUGCCGAAGCUAUAUCCGCAAGCCGCGCAUCCUCUCGUGCUAGAUAUAUAUAUUCUGGCCGGAACGCGAACGGCGUUCGCGCCGUCCAGAGCACACUCGCGCGCCGCUGCUUUGCGCCGUCAUGGCCAGCGUCCUCCACGAGCCUCGCCACCUUGCCCUAGAGACCCGCAUCGGCUCGAGAAUCCUUCCUGCAGAAGUAAUCGACCCGAGGUGCCUCCAACCGUUGCGUCACCAUCUUCUUCCUCAGCUCCUACCGUUUGCUGCCGCGGAGCAGAUCUCCUUCUCCGGCAACCUCUGGACUCCACCACUGCCUCCCUCAGCUCAACCCGAUCACUCUGAACCUUCCGGUGAUUCUCAUAGAGCCUCGCGUGGUCCGAGUCAUCCCCGCGUCGCUGCUCUUCUCUGCCUGCCACCCGCCGGUGUCGAGGUGCUCGCGCAGUGCUCCUCCACCCCUUCCAAUGCCUCCGUCAGAUUCGUGAUGACCUACUCAUUCUUUUGCCCCUCUUUCCUGCCUCUCCCGUGCUCUGUAUCGCCCCGCCUACAAGCGUCACCAAUGAGAAGCUCUAGCGCCGCAGACCGCACGAGCCUGCGGCCAGCAAGAUUUCACCAAUGAGAAGCUCCAACGCUACCUCAGGGUGCAGCGGCCUUACGCCUGCUAGACACCCCACCCCCUGCCUGGCCUGUGUCGCGCAGGAGAGCAACUCAGGCGAUGGCAAAGCAUCGGCGAGGCAGGGGCCAGAAGCCGCCUGAUUUUUCCUUCCGACGGUGGACCCACUUGCAAAUUAAUCAUUUCUUCUACGGUCAAAGAGAUCAUUUUCCUGUUGCUUCAGCCCCACAUCUCAGUAGCUAGGUUGGCCCCACUCGGUAGGAUUUAACCUGGCCCCACCCGUCAGGAGGUAACAGUCAAAGGACUGGACCGUUAACAGGUCCGCCGCGAGGACAUUUGCGAGCAUUUGCCAAAGAACGAAGUGUAAAAGCGAGCAACAUUUUAAGCCUUGGACAAAACUCAGUAGAACUAAGCAACGGAGGGCACGGAAAUAAAAAACCCAUAAAAGAAAGCCGAUGAAUUUGGAGCAGUUGAUCUUUAAUUCUUCUUGGUAUGCUAUAUGUAUUUGGAGCAUUGGAAGUCAUCAGGGCAGUACUUCCCGCACUCGUUGAGGAUGAGGCGGACGCC
Molecule: long non-coding RNA, 6251 nt
Filed under: Brachypodium distachyon (stiff brome)
Lineage: Eukaryota; Viridiplantae; Streptophyta; Magnoliopsida; Poales; Poaceae
Description: long non-coding RNA (BDIS_LNC004371)
Source: RNAcentral